Long non-coding RNA from Tigriopus californicus, 2464 nucleotides. RefSeq lists it as uncharacterized. The transcript has 5 exons. The record is from RefSeq and is a predicted model, not a curated record. Lineage: Eukaryota; Metazoa; Arthropoda; Copepoda; Harpacticoida; Harpacticidae.
UUCCUUGGAAUGAACUACACUCAGCACCGUACCAAAGCAACGUGCACUAAUCACUCGGAGAGAGACAAAACUGGGGAAAAUUCUCAAGACACUCGGGGUUGAUAGUGCUCGAGAUAUCACCCGAAACCCACCGAGCGCCCAAAGCAAAGCAAAGCCACAGAGAAAUAGAGCCAGCCAGUCAGUCAGGCCUCAACCUAACGAUCUAGCCUCAACCGGUGCAAAAAAGAGUUACCCUCCGCCUGCGGCUCCAGUCGGCCUCUUCUGGCUCGUCUUCCUUUGGCGGCGCUCGCAUUCCCGUUCCCUCUCCGUCUCCCCCGCCUCCAGUCUUCUCCGUCUCCGCCAGUCUCCCUCUUUUCCUAAGCCGGCAUCGUGCAAUGAGAGGGAGAAAAAGGGGGCGAUCGCCACUUGAGAGAGCUUUUACUGGCGGCAAAUCUGUAGCUCCUCCCCUCCGCUCGUUGUGAGGCUCGAUUUUUCACGAUCUCUCGGCAGAGAAAGAAUUCGCUGCUUGCGAGUCGACCGGGGAAAUGUACAUGGAGGACCACGUUGGUUUUGCGAUUGCAAAUGGACUGGAAAUGAACACCACCUUGAUGAGCCUGAGACAUGGAUGGACUUGUUCCAGUUAGACCUGAGACGAAUAUAGAUAUUAUAUCGAAUGGAGAGAAUUAGGCUCAAGCUUUCCAUUAUGAGUGACUCGGUCCGACCACAAUCGAAGCAGCCUCACCAUCACCAAUAUACUACUGGAGUUCGGAGUUCCUAGUUCUGAUAAUGAGACUGACUUGUAACGAGUUCCAAAGAUAUGUCCAGAGCCCAAAGAAACCACGUUAUCGUCAUGAGGGCCAAUGUUCACCAAUAGUUGCGCGGGCUCAAUUUUUCCCUCAAAUGCGAAAAUGGCAAAAGUACACAACAUGCAAUAUGUACGUGGCGAGGUUCAACCUGGAUCUGAAACGGCUCUUUUUUAACAUGGAGUCUCCAAAUCAUCCACUCUGUCGCGAAGAAUCCACACACACCUCAGCUGCCCUCCCCACCACCGAGACCGUGGUUUUCUUUCCGAAGCCAAAGAUCUUCUGUGAUCAUUUGCACGGACUUCUCGUUCUUUGGAGGCAUCGAAAGGUGAUGGUUUAGAUCGCAUGUUCCACGUCGUUGGCAUCGCUCCUUCCCACAUGCAGUCCCGUCGCAAUCAUAAACGUCCCACCCAUUCCACCCGAAACUGGGCCUCAAUGGGUGCCAAUGAGUGUUCACCUGGAUAUUUCUGAGACAUCCUUGGUAGGUACUAAGUUGAAAAUCCAGCUCACCCAAUGGAUGACGAUAGUCUUCUUUGAUGUUUCCUAUAUUGGGCAUUGAAAACAUAAGCAGGUACAUUUCAGUUUACAAUUUAGUAUCAAAUCUGUUGUAACGGUACCGACCUAGAUAGAGAAUAGGUACCACAUCAAGACUGAUGAGGUCCAGAUGGAAUCGACCGACGGCAUUUUGGCCGUUCAAUUUCAAGAAAGCGUCUCGACCAGUCCGACCUGCCUCAAUCUGGUUCCAUUCAUUCGUGUUAAUACAGCAAAGACUCAAUGUCAGCACGUUGCCAAAAGUGCUUCUGGAGCCACCUAGAGACAUUGCCAGCACUAGGCUUCCGUUUUGAAGGGACAGAGAAAAGAAGUCUGCGUUGAAAAAGUCCCGCGAUUGCCCGAGGAAUAAUAGCAUUCCUUCUGAGGACUCGGGUUUAAUUUCCAUAGAGAAUAAGGACAUUUGCCGCAAAUUAGUCGUCAAAUUAAUCCAUAGUUGGGAGUAUGGACUUCCUAGCCGUGCAUCAGACACAUCCAGACCUAUACAAGAAGGGGAUAUGUUGAAAAGUAAUAAGAUUAAACUACCAAUUGAUGAUGGACUUACUCUCCGUGCAAUAGUUCCCACUUUUUCCGAAGGGACACUUGCAAAAAUAUGUUCCAUUCAGAUGAAGAGAACAUUCCGAGUCCUGGGAACAUUUAUGCUUGCCCGUGGUGCAAAGGCUCGUUUCCUCCUGACAUCGAACUCCAAACCAUCCAUCCGGGCAUGAACAUCUGCAAAAUGAUACGUACCGUUCAGUUGAGAUGAAUAAGUAUUUUGACUGGAAAUCAUGGAACAUACGUGAAUGAGGCCCCAUAUCCAAUGCAGGUGCCCCCUCUCUGACAAGGCUGAGUCGAGCAAAUGUCUUGAUGACAUUCCUGGAUGUUUCGACCAUGCACCUUUUUAAGAUUAACCAUGGAAUGGAGUGGAAUGAGGGGCAAAACGGAAUACGACGAUUUCAGGGAAAAAUCGAAGAUGCAACCCUCGAAACCUCGAUGAACCGGGAGAUCAUGUGUUAUGUUGGGAAAUUGAUCUACUUGCAGCCAACCUCGUUUUCCAUAGCGGCCAAAGCGAACGGAAUGCAUGACGUAGCGGUAAUCGAUAGGUUGAGAUGUGAAAAUUCUUCGAGGGCCUUUAAAAGAGAAAUAAACAAUAA